GGCGCGUGGCGUUGGGAGCGUAGCCGUGGUAGGUGAGCGCAGGGGUGACACGGAAUGGGAGCCGGCCGCGGAGGUGGUUUUCCGUGGUCAAGCACGCAGCCAGUCGCACAGGCAAAUCCGUGCGGCGCGUAUGGCGAGGUGCGAUGAUGGGAGCCGUUUCGGCUCGAUAUCCGGUGGUCCAGGCCGUCGAGAAAAGCCCCGGCGUCAGGCGCGUUGCCGCCCGUACCCCAAACCGACACUGGUGGUCAGGUAGAGAAUACCAAGGCGAUCGAGCGAAUCCUGGUCAAGGAACUCGGCAAACCGCUCCCGUGCCUCCGGCAUAAGGGAGACCCCCGCGGGUGAACGGACAUGCUCCGGGAGCGUGUGGGGGUGGCACAGACCAGGGGGUAGCGACUGUUUACCAAAAACACAGGUGCAUGCGAAGGCGUAAGCCGCUGUAUAUGCACUGACGCCUGCCCGGUGCCGGAAGGUUAAGAGGAUCCGUCAGCCCCUUGGGGGUGAAGCGGUGAAUUCAAGCCCCGGUAAACGGCGGUGGUAACUAUAACCAUCCUAAGGUAGCGAAAUUCCUUGUCGGGUAAGCUCCGACCUGCACGAAUGGCGUAACGACUUCCCCGCUGUCUCGACCAGGAGCUCGGCGAAAUUGCAGUACGAGUAAAGAUGCUCGUUAAGCGCAGAAGGACGAAAAGACCCCGGGACCUUUACUAUACCUUGGUAUUGGCGUCAGUCGCGGAUUGUGUAGCAUAGGCGGGAGGCUUCGAGGCGCGGGCGCCAGCCCGCGCGGAGCCGCAAGGUGAAAUACCGCUCUGUUCUCGUUUGACGUCUCACCUCGAACGGUCAUCCUGUUCAGGGACAGUGCCUGGCGGGUAGUUUAACUGGGGCGGUUGCCUCCCAAAGAGUAACGGAGGCGCUCAAAGGUCCGCUCAGCCCGGUUGGCAAUCGGGUGUCGAGUGCAAUCGCACAAGCGGGCUUGACUGCGAGGACGGCGGUCCGAGCAGGGACGAAAGUCGGAGAUAGUGAUCCGGUGCCGGCGCACGGGCGCGGCAUCGCUCAACGGAUAAAAGGUACCCCGGGGAUAACAGGCUGAUCAUUCCCAAGAGUCCAUAUCGACGGGAUGGGUUGGCACCUCGAUGUCGGCUCGUCGCAUCCUGGGGCUGGAGCAGGUCCCAAGGGUUCGGCUGUUCGCCGAUUAAAGCGGUACGCGAGCUGGGUUCAGAACGUCGUGAGACAGUUUGGUCUCUAUCCUCUGCGCUCGUUGGAAUCCUGGGGAGGCCUGCCCAUAGUACGAGAGGACCUGGGUGGACGAACCUCUGGUAUGCCGGUUGUCGCGCCAGCGGCACGGCCGGUUGGCUACGUUCGGGAGGGAUAACCGCUGAAAGCAUCUAAGCGGGAAGCCUGCUCCGAGAUUAGGAUUCCUUGGGCCCUUCGGGGUCCUGAAGCCCGCAUGUGGAACACGUGUUUGAUAGGCCGGAGGUGGAAGCCCCGCGAGGGGUGGAGCCGACCGGUACUAACGGGCGACGGCGACAU
This 1524-nucleotide ribosomal RNA is filed under the name metagenome. RNAcentral's name for it is "bacterial LSU rRNA". It matches the Rfam family "Bacterial large subunit ribosomal RNA", at positions 1439 to 2925 of the family's 2925-position model. The record is from RNAcentral.